This 1916-nucleotide long non-coding RNA is filed under the name Ficedula albicollis (Collared flycatcher). RNAcentral's name for it is "lncRNA (ENSFALG00000019930.2)". Lineage: Eukaryota; Metazoa; Chordata; Aves; Passeriformes; Muscicapidae. The record is from RNAcentral.
GGGGGGGGGGGGGGGGGGGGGGGGGGGGGGGGGGGGGGGGGGGGGGGGGGGGGGGGGGGGGGGGGGGGGGGGGGGGGGGGGGGGGGGGGGGGGGGGGGGGGGGGGGGGGGGGGGGGGGGGGGUGUCCCCAGUUCUGUCCUGGGGUGUCCCAGCUCCACUUUGGGGUGUCCCAGCUCCAUCCUGGGGUGUCCCCAAUCCAUCCUGGGAUGUCUCCAGUUCUGUCCUGGGGUGUCCCCAGCUCCAUCCUCCAUUCUGGGGUGUCCCCAGUUCUGUCCUGGGGUGUCCCAGCUCCACUUUGGGGUGUCCCAGCUCCAUCCUGGGGUGUCCCCAAUCCAUCCUGGAAUGUCUCCAGUUCUGUCCUGGAGUGUCCCCAGCUCCAUCCUCCACCUUGGAGUGUCCCCAGUUCCAUCUUGGGGUGUCUCCUGCUCCAUCCUGGCGUGUCCCCAGUUCCAGGAUUCCACUUUGGGGUGUAAAUCCACCCUGGGUUGUUCCCAGCUCCAUCCUCCAUUCUGGGGUGUCCCCAGUUCUGUCCUGGGGUGUCCCAGCUCCACUUUGGGGUGUCCCAGCUCCAUCCUGGGGUGUCCCCAAUCCAUCCUGGGGUGUCCCAAAUCCAUCCUGGGGUGUCCCCAGCCCCAUCCUGGGGUGUCCCCAACUCCAGAGUUCCAUCCUGGGGUCUCCCAGUUCCAUCCUGGGGUGUCCCAAUUCCAUCCUGGGGUGUCCCAGUUCCAUCUUGGAGUGUCCCCAACUCCAGAAUUCCAUCCUGGGGUGUCCCAGUUCCAUCCUGGGCUGUCCCUUCACAACCAGGGUGGUGGCACCAACGAGGGGAAUCCAAAUUUCACUGCAGGGGUGACAUUAAAAAUUAAAAAAAAAAAAAAAAACAGCCUAAAACUAACAGGGAAGAAAAAAAAAUAACAACCCACCAAAAAAAAAAAAAAGGGGGGGGGGGGGGGGGGGGGGGGGGGGGUUAAUAUGUCUUAAAAAAAAAAAAAAAAAAAAAAAAAAAAAAAAAAACCUCCAAGACAGCAGAGCUUGAUGAGAGGAUGGAUCUCAGUUUGCAUAAUCCCAUAAAGGCAGAAAAACGACAGGAAUCACCUAAAAUAACCCGAACCCAAGCAGCAGCCAUCUGCCCCCAUUGCUCUAGGAUGGGAUGUAUCAUAAUAAAAAAUAAUUACAAAGAAACAACAAAAAAAAAUUACAUACAUAUGUACAGGCUACGUUGUAAACAGCACAAAACAAAAAAAAAACACAAAAAAGGAAAAAAACAGCUGGAAAGUGUGGUUGAACUUUUUAAGAGAAUAUUAUAAAUACUGUAAUAUAUCAUUUUAUUUUAUUGGCAUGCCUUUUUGUAAAUACAAAGAACUACAUAAAUUAUAGAAUGGCUUUGGCAUGCCUUUUUGUAAAUACAAAGAACUACAAAAAUUAUAGAAUGGCUUCUGGCUUAUGCCAUUGUCCAUGGUUAUUUUUAUUUUUUUAAGAUUUUUCUGUUGUCCUUAGAUUUUAGAUAGCCAGGAAAUAUCCCCCAAAGGAGAAAAAAAAUAUAAAUAAAAUACAACAACAACAACAAAAAAAAUAUUCCAAAUUAAAACCCAAUCCCCCCUUCCAAACAGCUUUUAACAAAAGCUUUAUUGCAAGUGAUAUUUGCAGCAGCAGAAAUGUUCAUUUUUGGGUUCCAAUGUGCAAUAAGUCGACCACUUCUAUGCAAGAUUUGGCUGAACUUUAAAUUGUUCUUAGGCUGGGCUGAGUCUUGGUGUGUUGGCAUUUGUGCUGGCAACUCAUGAAGCUGCUCCAUGACUUGAAAAUAAAAGGGGGGGGGGGGGGGGGGGGGGGGGGGGGGGGGGGGGGGGGGGGGGGGGGGGGGGGGGGGGGGGGGGGGGGGGGGGGGGGGGGGGGGGGGGGGGGGGGGGGGGGGGGGGGGG